RNAcentral lists this long non-coding RNA (1940 nucleotides) under Salmo salar (Atlantic salmon). RNAcentral's name for it is "lncRNA (ENSSSAG00000091377.1)". The record is from RNAcentral. Lineage: Eukaryota; Metazoa; Chordata; Actinopteri; Salmoniformes; Salmonidae.
CAUGAAGCGAGCUGGAACACUGUGUACACAAGUAGCUAGACAAGGAUGAAGUCAGGGGUGAUGUUUAAAGCUCAUGAUGCAACUCUCGUUCAACAUUAUUAGUGAGACAGUACUGCCAUCUAGCGAGUACUACCUUGAACAUACAGAGUAGUGAACGGAGUCAAUAGAAUCAAGCCACAGGCCUACAAAGCAUCGACAAAAGCUUUAUUUAUUUGAAAAACAAGUGAACCGUUAUGUACAGUACAUGAAAAAAACGUGGGUUACACAAACAUGGGAGUAUUUUGUCCUGUCUCUUUACAGGUUCAUCAUUCCAGAUUGACUAUUUACAACAGGGAAAAAACACACAUGUAAUCAGUACAACAUAAGGUGAGACAAACAUCAUUACAUACAGCACAUCAUCAUUGUUCCUAAACCAGUAGCCUUUAUUCAUAAUCGCAAAAAAACACAAAAUCACAAAAUCCAAUUCAAUAUUAACUCUGGAUUGUUUUGCUGACUGAACAACAGUGCCCUCUUCUGGACAGAAGGGACAAUUGGUCAUUAGACUCCCAUCAUUUAUACUCACUGGUUGACUGGGGUCGUAUUUAUUAGAAGACAAAAACAAUUGGACAUGUUCAGAUAAUCCCUCCCUGUUUCAGCCUGUUUUCCUUUGUUUGGUGCUUAAUUAAUAUAACCUGGGAAGCACCGUCUGGCUGGCACUCACACACAACUCACAUCCUCAGGGUGAAGCAGAGUCUACUCUGCUUGUUUCCUAUGGGACUAAACCAUUAUUUGAUUAAUUCAUGAAUUAAAGUGAUUGCAUAGAUCUGAGUCAGCCUAAAUACAUAUUUGAUUAGAAACCAAUCAGCAGACACUGAUGAUAAAUAACUGAUAAUAACUACUCAUCAUGAUCAUCAGUCAUAGUGCUUUGUGUCGACAGUAAUGUGACCACUGUGACAGUAACGUGACAGUAACGUGACCACUGUGACAGUAACGUGACAGUAACGUGACCACUGUGACAGUAACGUGACAGUAACGUGACCACUGAGACAGUAACGUGACAACUGUGACAGUAACGUGACCACUGUGACAGUAACGUGACAGUAACGUGACCACUAUGACAGUAACGUGACCACUGAGACAGUAACGUGACCACUGCGACAGUAACGUGACCACUGUGACAGUAACGUGACCACUGUGACAGUAACGUAACCACUGUGACAGUAACGUGACCACUGCGACAGUAACGUGACCACUGUGACAGUAACGUAACCACUGUGACAGUAACAUAACCACUGCGACAGUAACGUGACCACUGCGACAGUAACGUGACCACUGUGACAGUAACGUGACCACUGCGACAGUAACGUGACCACUGUGACAGUAACGUGACCACUGUGACAGUAACGUGACCACUGUGACAGUAACGUGACCACUGUGACAGUAACGUGACCACUGCGACAGUAACGUGACAGUAACGUGACCACUGUGACAGUAACGUGACCACUGUGACAGUAACGUGACCACUGUGACAGUAACGUGACCACUGUGACAGUAACGUGACCACUGCGACAGUAACGUGACAGUAACGUGACCACUGUGACAGUAACGUGACCACUGUGACAGUAACGUGACAGUAACGUGACCACUGUGACAGUAACGUGACCACUGUGACAGUAACGUGACCACUGUGACAGUAAUGUGACCACUGUGACAGUAACGUGACCACUGCGACAGUAACGUAACCACUGCGACAGUAACGUGACCACUGCGACAGUAACGUGACCACUGCGACAGUAACGUGACCACUGCGACAGUAACGUGACCACUGCGACAGUAACGUGACCACUGUGACAGUAACGUGACCACUGUGACAGUAACGUGACCACUGUGACAGUAACGUAACCACUGUGACAGUAACGUAACCACUGUGACAGUAACGUGACCACUGAGACAGUAACGUG